This is a long non-coding RNA of Benincasa hispida (wax gourd), 615 nucleotides long. RefSeq lists it as uncharacterized. NCBI's taxonomy places the organism in Eukaryota, Viridiplantae, Streptophyta, Magnoliopsida, Cucurbitales, Cucurbitaceae. The record is from RefSeq and is a predicted model, not a curated record.
CCCUCUCGCCCAAAUCCCUAGCUCUCGCUCAUAAAUUCCAUCCACUCUUGCUCUCGCUUUUGCUCUCGCCAAUAGUCUCUGCAGCGCAGCCCUCUCGCUCUCGCUCGUCCCUCCACUCUCGCCACUCUCGCUCUCGCACAUAAAGUCCCCUCUCGCUUUAUGUUUAUUGUGUGGUGGUUUAAUAUUUGGUGAUUGAUCUUUGUUAAUAAGAAUUAUUGGUACAGAAAGUUCACUUUGGUAAAUUGAUAGUCUUCGACACCAUUAUUGUCCUCCUGUUUCAAGGUUAGUUUUAUGCCUAGUAUCCCCAUACAAUCAAGUGUGUGAAGUGUUCAAGAGAGAGCUUGGCAUGACACCGGAUAAGUUGCUGGAUGAAUUGAAGAAGAAGAAUCCUAAUAAUGAAGUCCAUCUCAACAACGUAUAUUACAUCUCUUAAUCUCUCAAACCCUCCCAAAUUUGUAGACAAAUAAAAUUGUGUUGCCCUUAUACGGAAGAUUCUGUUGCCCUUGUAAAAUCAUAAUCUUUAUAUUACUUGUAAUUUAUGUUUUCAAGGCUUGAAUUAUUGUACGCCUUUUAAAUUAUAAUUCUAUAGCAAAAUUUGUGGAUUAAAUGUAAUAG